AGAGACAACAGGAAGGCUCCUAAAAAGCAAAACAAGCACAGAGCUAUGGAUGACAUUAAGGAGAGUAUAGCUGAACUCAAAUACUUCAAGGAGCACAUAUUCAAAGUCUCCAAGUCUAAAAAGUGACAGUGAAUGAAACUAUCAUCUCAUGAUUAUGAUUCCCAAGAUGUGGUGUUACCUGCCAUUGUAAAGUGAUUCUGGAUUUUAGAUGUAAAAAGGUGUUUGAUCUAAAUUAUGAACUCAG
Molecule: unclassified non-coding RNA, 244 nt
Filed under: Hevea brasiliensis (rubber tree)
Lineage: Eukaryota; Viridiplantae; Streptophyta; Magnoliopsida; Malpighiales; Euphorbiaceae
Source: RNAcentral